Molecule: long non-coding RNA, 456 nt
Organism: Ixodes scapularis (black-legged tick)
Lineage: Eukaryota; Metazoa; Arthropoda; Arachnida; Ixodida; Ixodidae
Exons: 6
Source: RefSeq, a predicted model, not a curated record
GCGAGCAAGCAAGUGCGAGUCUCGAUUUAGGACCGGUGAUUGACAGCCUCCGUCUCGCCACUGUUCUCCAUUUCAUCGAGCACGGCUACAAGGGAAUCGGAAGGAAAGGUCCAUGCGGCGGUGUAGCAAGGGCUGCCCAGCACACCAGAGAGUAGCACCUUAGACCAUGCCACUCAGCUACAGAAAUGACCUUGCCAUGCCAGGGACGAACACCUUACACUACACUACUCAGCAACAGGGCCAUACGGUGCAGAGAGGACCUGCCGACGCCGGGGAUUGUCACCUUACAGUAUGCCACACAAUUACAGAGCCAUGAAAAGACAGCUGCAAGAUGACACAAAGCAAGAUGGUUUCCCAAUGCGUAAAGAUUGAACACCAACCUCCGAGAUGAAUCAGAAGAAGCGCCUGUAUGGAUAGGACACGAGUGUAGUAAUAAAACCAUAUUGCCAAUAUAAA